AUUCCCAAGGAUGUGCCUGAGCCAUUGUUAAGAGGACGCCGAAAUCACCACCAUGCAGGACAAAGAAGCAAGAUGAAAAGAAACAAACUUGUGGUUACCAGAUACCAGAAAUUGAUGUGGUUUGAUUGAGAACACUUGGAGGCUGUUAUAAUUUGAG
Molecule: long non-coding RNA, 157 nt
Organism: Saccostrea cuccullata (small rock oyster)
Lineage: Eukaryota; Metazoa; Mollusca; Bivalvia; Ostreida; Ostreidae
Exons: 3
Source: RefSeq, a predicted model, not a curated record